UGCUUGGUGGUCCAGUGGUUAAGAUGUGGUGCUUACACUGCCGUGGCCCAGGUUCAAUCCCUGGUCAAGGAA
Eubalaena glacialis (North Atlantic right whale) is the source of this 72-nucleotide non-coding RNA. NCBI's taxonomy places the organism in Eukaryota, Metazoa, Chordata, Mammalia, Artiodactyla, Balaenidae. The record is from the annotation of a RefSeq genome assembly.